RNAcentral lists this ribosomal RNA (483 nucleotides) under uncultured bacterium. RNAcentral describes it as "partial 16S ribosomal RNA". It matches the Rfam family "Bacterial small subunit ribosomal RNA", at positions 28 to 523 of the family's 1533-position model. The record is from RNAcentral.
GAUGAACGCUGGCGGCGUGCUUAACACAUGCAAGUCGAACGGGAUCCACCAAGCUUGCUUGGUGGUGAGAGUGGCGAACGGGUGAGUAAUGCGUGACCGACCUGCCCCAUACACCGGCAUAGCUCCUGGAAACGGGUGGUAAUGCCGGAUGUUCCAGUCGAUCGCCUGGUCUUCCGGGAAAGCCUCCGCGGUAUGGGAUGGGGUCGCGUCCUAUCAGCUUGACGGCGGGGUAACGGCCCACCGUGGCUUCGACGGGUAGCCGGCCUGAGAGGGCGACCGGCCACAUUGGGACUGAGAUACGGCCCAGACUCCUACGGGAGGCAGCAGUGGGGAAUAUUGCACAAUGGGCGCAAGCCUGAUGCAGCGACGCCGCGUGAGGGAUGGAGGCCUUCGGGUUGUAAACCUCUUUUAUCGGGGAGCAAGCGUGAGUGAGUUUACCCGUUGAAUAAGCACCGGCUAACUACGUGCCAGCAGCCGCCGUAA